GCCUGGGUGGCUCAGUCAGUUAAGCAUCUGACUUCGGCUCAGGUCAUGAUCUCACUGUCUGUGGGUUCAAGACCUACAUCGGGCU
This 85-nucleotide transfer RNA is filed under the name Felis catus (domestic cat). It matches the Rfam family "tRNA". Rfam says of the family: Transfer RNA (tRNA) molecules are approximately 80 nucleotides in length. Lineage: Eukaryota; Metazoa; Chordata; Mammalia; Carnivora; Felidae. The record is from Rfam by way of RNAcentral.